AACGCUAGCUACAGGCUUAACACAUGCAAGUCGAGGGGCAGCAUUACGGUAGCUUGCUACUGUAGAUGGCGACCGGCGCACGGGUGAGUAACGCGUAUCCAACCUGCCCAUGACUUGGGGAUAACCUUGCGAAAGCAAGCCUAAUACCCGAUACGCUUCAUAGAUGGCAUCUGAAAUGAAGUAAAGGUUUACGGUUAUGGAUGGGGAUGCGUCCGAUUAGCUUGUUGGCGGGGUAACGGCCCACCAAGGCAUCGAUCGGUAGGGGUUCUGAGAGGAAGGUCCCCCACAUUGGAACUGAGACACGGUCCAAACUCCUACGGGAGGCAGCAGUGAGGAAUAUUGGUCAAUGGAGGCAACUCUGAACCAGCCAAGUAGCGUGCAGGAUGACGGCCCUAUGGGUUGUAAACUGCUUUUAUGCGGGGAUAAAUUGACUCACGUGUGAGUUAUUGCAGGUACCGCAUGAAUAAGGACCGGCUAAUUCCGUGCCAGCAGCCGCGGUAAUACGGAAGGUCCGGGCGUUAUCCGGAUUUAUUGGGUUUAAAGGGAGCGUAGGCCGUUGUUUAAGCGUGUUGUGAAAUGUCCCGGCUCAACCGUGGCACUGCAGCGCGAACUGGACGACUUGAGUGCGCGGAACGUAUGCGGAAUUUGUGGUGUAGCGGUGAAAUGCUUAGAUAUCACGAAGAACUCCGAUUG
Molecule: ribosomal RNA, 693 nt
Filed under: uncultured bacterium
Lineage: Bacteria
Description: bacterial SSU rRNA
Rfam family: Bacterial small subunit ribosomal RNA
Source: RNAcentral